This 301-nucleotide ribosomal RNA is filed under the name uncultured bacterium. Its description in RNAcentral is "partial 16S ribosomal RNA". It matches the Rfam family "Bacterial small subunit ribosomal RNA", at positions 509 to 807 of the family's 1533-position model. The record is from RNAcentral.
CAGUCGCCGCGGGAAUACGUAGGGUGCGAGCGUUAAUCGGAAUUACUGGGCGUAAAGCGUGCGCAGGCGGCUUUGCAAGACAGAUGUGAAAUCCCCGGGCUCAACCUGGGAACUGCAUUUGUGACUGCAAGGCUAGAGUGCGGCAGAGGGAGAUGGAAUUCCGCGUGUAGCAGUGAAAUGCGUAGAUAUGCGGAGGAACACCGAUGGCGAAGGCAAUCUCCUGGGCCUGCACUGACGCUCAUGCACGAAAGCGUGGGGAGCAAACAGGAUUAGAGACCCCCGUAGUCCCUGUCUCUUAUAC